GUCGAGCGGACAGAUGGGAGCUUGCUCCCUGAUGUUAGCGGCGGACGGGUGAGUAACACGUGGGUAACCUGCCUGUAAGACUGGGAUAACUCCGGGAAACCGGGGCUAAUACCGGAUGGUUGUUUGAACCGCAUGGUUCAAACAUAAAAGGUGGCUUCGGCUACCACUUACAGAUGGACCCGCGGCGCAUUAGCUAGUUGGUGAGGUAAUGGCUCACCAAGGCAACGAUGCGUAGCCGACCUGAGAGGGUGAUCGGCCACACUGGGACUGAGACACGGCCCAGACUCCUACGGGAGGCAGCAGUAGGGAAUCUUCCGCAAUGGACGAAAGUCUGACGGAGCAACGCCGCGUGAGUGAUGAAGGUUUUCGGAUCGUAAAGCUCUGUUGUUAGGGAAGAACAAGUACCGUUCGAAUAGGGCGGUACCUUGACGGUACCUAACCAGAAAGCCACGGCUAACUACGUGCCAGCAGCCGCGGUAAUACGUAGGUGGCAAGCGUUGUCCGGAAUUAUUGGGCGUAAAGGGCUCGCAGGCGGUUUCUUAAGUCUGAUGUGAAAGCCCCCGGCUCAACCGGGGAGGGUCAUUGGAAACUGGGGAACUUGAGUGCAGAAGAGGAGAGUGGAAUUCCACGUGUAGCGGUGAAAUGCGUAGAGAUGUGGAGGAACACCAGUGGCGAAGGCGACUCUCUGGUCUGUAACUGACGCUGAGGAGCGAAAGCGUGGGGAGCGAACAGGAUUAGAUACCCUGGUAGUCCACGCCGUAAACGAUGAGUGCUAAGUGUUAGGGGGUUUCCGCCCCUUAGUGCUGCAGCUAACGCAUUAAGCACUCCGCCUGGGGAGUACGGUCGCAAGACUGAAACUCAAAGGAAUUGACGGGGGCCCGCACAAGCGGUGGAGCA
This 897-nucleotide ribosomal RNA is filed under the name Bacillus tequilensis. RNAcentral describes it as "bacterial SSU rRNA". It matches the Rfam family "Bacterial small subunit ribosomal RNA", at positions 61 to 939 of the family's 1533-position model. The record is from RNAcentral. Lineage: Bacteria; Bacillati; Bacillota; Bacilli; Caryophanales; Bacillaceae.